RNAcentral lists this ribosomal RNA (492 nucleotides) under uncultured bacterium. RNAcentral's name for it is "partial 16S ribosomal RNA". It matches the Rfam family "Bacterial small subunit ribosomal RNA", at positions 29 to 507 of the family's 1533-position model. The record is from RNAcentral.
AGUGAACGCUGGCGGUAUGCCUAACACAUGCAAGUCGAACGGCAGCACAGUAAGAUCUUGCCCUUACGGUUGGCGAGUGGCGGACGGGUGAGGCAUACAUCGGCAUCUACUUUUUCUUGGGUGAUAUCGUAGGGACACUUACACUAAUACCUCAUACGUCCUACGGCUUAAAGCAAGAGAUCUUCGGACUUUUCGCGUCUCAAUUAGCCGAUGUCGCAUUAGCUAGUUGGCAGGGUAAAGGCUCAGCAAGGCAACGAUCCGUAGCUGAUCUGAGAGGAUGAUCAGCCACACUGGAACUGAGACACGGUCCAGACUCCUACGGGAGGCAGCAGUAGGGAAUAUUGCGCAAUGGGCGAAAGCCUGAUGGAGUCAUGCCGCGUGAGUGAAGAAGGCCUUCGGGUUGUAAAACCCUGUUGUUGGGAAAGAAAAGCAGCGGAUUAAACCCCGGAUGUUCUGACGGUACCCAAAGAAAAAGCACCGGCUAACUUCGUG